RNAcentral lists this long non-coding RNA (1106 nucleotides) under Gossypium barbadense (sea-island cotton). RNAcentral's name for it is "long non-coding RNA (GBAR_LNC023521)". The record is from RNAcentral. Lineage: Eukaryota; Viridiplantae; Streptophyta; Magnoliopsida; Malvales; Malvaceae.
AUAGCCUGAGCCUUGUGGUUUCCAAAAAGUUUAAGGUAUUAACCUCGAAACAAAGAGGAAGACUUUGAAAACAAAAAGAGGGAGACAGAGACAGCAGCCCAAAGAAUGGACUUCAGCUUUGCAAGGUGGGCCUUUGGGCUUCAUUGUGUAUUUGAGCCACUGGACAAGGUUUUCAUCAAGUGAAGUGCAGAUAGAUAUUAUGUGAAAUGAACGGCUUAAUGUUAACAAAUUGACCUUAAGAAGGAAUAUGCCAUUGGUGGCGAUAAGAAAAUUGUGGUGGGGUAUCCAACAUGAGGUCCAUAUCUCACACAUCAUAUCAUCUGGAUAAGAGUAGAAUCCAGAGACCUUCAUUUUAUUGGACAUCAUUUGAUUUGCUUCACAUUAAAUCUUAUAUCCCAAAACCCAAAUCCUCAGCCAGAGGCAAUUGAAACUCCAUUUCUCUGCCACAAAAAGCUCCCCCGCCCCGACUCCCCUGGCAUCAACAGCACAAUUCUAAACCCAAAAACAUAAAAAAAUGGCAGCAAGUGUAGCAACAAUGGCGAUGCUCAAUGCAAAAUGCCUAAGCAUCAGCUCAACUAAGAUGAGCAGCCCAACAAAGCCAACCCCAAAGCCCUUCUCCCUUCUCUCCAUGCAGAACCUCCCCAAAGGCCUCACCAUCUCAAAACCAGCCAACAACUCAAACCUACCUUCUUCACUCGCUGGCAGCGCCAUUGCUGGAGCUAUCUUCUCAACCUUAAGUUCAUGUGACCCCGCCUUAGCUGCACAACAGAUUGCUGAAAUAGCUGAAGGAGACAACCGUGGGCUAGCUCUAUUGCUUCCCAUAAUCCCAGCGAUCGCUUGGGUCCUCUUCAACAUCCUCCAGCCAGCACUUAACCAGCUGAAUCGAAUGAGGAGCUCCAAAGGGGUUAUCAUAGGGCUAGGGCUCGGAGGAUUGGCUGCAUCAGGGUUCAUGUCAACACCGGAAGCAUCGGCCAGUGAGAUAGCUAUGGUAGCUGAUGCUGCAUCUAGUGACAAUAGGGGUACCCUUCUCCUCUUCGUUGUAGCACCAGCUCUUCUUUGGGUGGCCUACAACAUUCUGCAACCCGCUUUGAACCAGCUUAAUAGGA